CAGCCGCCGCGGGAAAACGGAGGGUGCAAGCGUUAAUCGGGAUUACUGGGCGUAAAGCGUGCGUAGGCGGUUCGUUAAGUCUGUUGUGAAAGCCCCGGGCUCAACCUGGGAAUGGCAAUGGAUACUGGGUCACUAGAGUGUGGUAGAGGAUAGUGGAAUUUCCGGUGUAGCAGUGAAAUGCGUAGAGAUCGGAAGGAACAUCUGUGGCGAAGGCGACUAUCUGGGCCAACACUGACACUGAGGCACGAAAGCGUGGGGAGCAAACAGGAUUAGAGACCCGCGUAGUCCCUGUCUCUUAUAC
RNAcentral lists this ribosomal RNA (301 nucleotides) under uncultured bacterium. RNAcentral describes it as "partial 16S ribosomal RNA". It matches the Rfam family "Bacterial small subunit ribosomal RNA", at positions 509 to 807 of the family's 1533-position model. The record is from RNAcentral.